CCUGGUACUGGGGUUACAUGCAUAAAAUACCUGACAGUGGCACGUGGUUAUUUUUUGGGGGGAAACAAACAAACAAACAACAUUAGGUUUCUCAUCACUGAUAUCCCUUUCUGACUUUCACAUUCCAGGUGGGUACCUCAGCCCAGCAUUCUGGAAGGUUUCCACUUUGGAGAGAUCUUUCCCAGAUGAUGACCUUCAGCUUUAUUUCAGCUCUGCUUUCUCCAUCCUGCACUCCACGGGGUCGUUCCAUGCUCUGCCUGCACCGCACCUCACAUCCAUCUUCGCCACGUGGGCUGCUUGCUCCGCUCGCUCAGGAAACCCGCUGCUGGUGGAGCAGCACUCGGCCAGGACCAGGGGCAGAAUUUCUCCCCGACCUUUACACAAGCAGUGUCACCUGCCUUAAGUAACAAAGCAGCCCUGGUUGAUUGUCACAUUUAAGGCUGCAUCCCCACAGCGUGUUCCUGACAGCACCCGGCCGUGAGGAGCAACCGUGUCGGUCUGGAAACCAAGCUGAAUGGAUACACACGCAGUGGCACUAGCAGUGAUUUUAACCCAUGGAAAGCCAAGGCUUUUCAUACUGCUUUUGCUCACCCAGGCUAUU
This is a long non-coding RNA of Oxyura jamaicensis (ruddy duck), 601 nucleotides long. RefSeq lists it as uncharacterized. The record is from RefSeq and is a predicted model, not a curated record. The transcript is spliced from 2 exons. Lineage: Eukaryota; Metazoa; Chordata; Aves; Anseriformes; Anatidae.